This 432-nucleotide unclassified non-coding RNA is filed under the name soil metagenome. RNAcentral describes it as "partial contains 5.8S ribosomal RNA, internal transcribed spacer 2, and large subunit ribosomal RNA". The stretch from base 1 to 120 matches the Rfam family "5.8S ribosomal RNA", at positions 35 to 154 of the family's 154-position model. The record is from RNAcentral.
GAUGAAGAACGUAGCGAAAUGCGAUACGUAAUGUGAAUUGCAGAAUUCAGUGAAUCAUCGAAUCUUUGAACGCAUAUUGCGCUCUCUGGUAUUCCGGAGAGCAUGCUUGUUUGAGUAUCAGUAAACACCUCAACUCCCCUUUCUUUUUUGAAAUGGGAGCUGGACUUGAGUGAUCCCAACGCUUUUCUCACCGAAAAGUGGCGGGUUACUUGAAAUGCAGGUGCAGCUGGACUUUUCUCUGAGCUAAAAGCAUAUCUAUUUAGUCUGCCUAAAAAACAGAUUAUUACCUUUGCUGCAGCUAACAUAAAGGAGAUUAGUUCUUGUGCUGACUGAUGCAGGAUUCACAGAGACAGCUUCGGCUGGCCUUUGUAAACUCGAUCUCAAAUCAAGUAAGACUACCCGCUGAACUUAAGCAUAUCAAUAAGCGGAGGA